GAAAUUCGACUUCAUGAAGCUGGAAUUGCUAGUAAUGGCAGGUCAGCAUACUGCCGUGAAUACGUUCCCGGGCCCUUGUACACACCGCCCGUCACACCAUGAGAGUUGGGAAUACCCGAAGCCUGUGAGCUAACUUUUAGAGGCAGCAGUCGAAGGUAGAAUCAAUGAUUGGGGUGAAGUCGUAACAAGGUAGC
RNAcentral lists this ribosomal RNA (194 nucleotides) under uncultured bacterium. RNAcentral's name for it is "partial 16S ribosomal RNA". It matches the Rfam family "Bacterial small subunit ribosomal RNA", at positions 1307 to 1500 of the family's 1533-position model. The record is from RNAcentral.